Small nuclear RNA from Mesocricetus auratus (golden hamster), 104 nucleotides. The record is from Ensembl. Lineage: Eukaryota; Metazoa; Chordata; Mammalia; Rodentia; Cricetidae.
GUGUUCACUUUGGUAGCACAUAUACAAAAAUUGGAACAAUACAAGGAUUAACAAGGCCUCUGUGCAAGGAUGACACAAAAACUUGUAAAACAUUCCAUAUUUGG